UACGUAGGAGACGAGCGUUGUCCGGAGUUACUGGGCGUAAAGGGUGCGCAGGCGGCCUGGCGCGUCGCGAGUGAAAUCUCCUGGCUCAACUGGGAGGGUGGUCGCGAGACGGCUGGGCUUGAGGCUCGGUGAGGGCGUGGAAUUGCCGGGUGGAGCCGGGUGAAAUGCGUAGAAGAUCCGGAGGAACACCGACGGCGUACGGCAGCGCCGUAGACGACGACCUGACGCUCAGGCACGAAAGCGGCGGGGAGCGAAACAGG
Molecule: ribosomal RNA, 260 nt
Filed under: uncultured bacterium
Lineage: Bacteria
Description: partial 16S ribosomal RNA
Rfam family: Bacterial small subunit ribosomal RNA
Source: RNAcentral